Molecule: ribosomal RNA, 403 nt
Filed under: Verrucomicrobiota bacterium
Lineage: Bacteria; Pseudomonadati; Verrucomicrobiota
Description: Verrucomicrobia bacterium partial 16S ribosomal RNA
Rfam family: Bacterial small subunit ribosomal RNA
Source: RNAcentral
UGGGGAAUAUUGCACAAUGGGCGCAAGCCUGAUGCAGCAACGCCGCGUGAACGAUGAAGGUCUUCGGAUCGUAAAGUUCUGUUGCAGGGGAAGAUAAUGACGGUACCCUGUGAGGAAGCCCCGGCUAACUACGUGCCAGCAGCCGCGGUAAUACGUAGGGGGCUAGCGUUAUCCGGAUUUACUGGGCGUAAAGGGUGCGUAGGUGGUCUUUCAAGUCGGUGGUUAAAGGCUACGGCUCAACCGUAGUUAGCCUCCGAAACUGGAAGACUUGAGUGCAGGAGAGGAAAGUGGAAUUCCCAGUGUAGCGGUGAAAUGCGUAGAUAUUGGGAGGAGCACCAGUAGCGAAGGCGGCUUUCUGGACUGCAACUGACACUGAGGCACGAAAGCGUGGGUAGCAAACAGG